Molecule: long non-coding RNA, 27310 nt
Filed under: Populus tremula
Lineage: Eukaryota; Viridiplantae; Streptophyta; Magnoliopsida; Malpighiales; Salicaceae
Description: long non-coding RNA (PTRE_LNC000327)
Source: RNAcentral
CCUUGCCGGGUCUUACAACUAUGUCAAUAACUCCAAGGAAAAAAGAACAUGAGAAUAUUCAGAAUUCCCAGAUGAAAUACAAAGAAAAUGAUGCAAAUGCAUUAUUAUUCAGAAUCCUCAAAUGAAAUAGAAAGAGAGUUACAAUGGAGUAACAUCAGUAUUAACUUCACAUACACAAGCCUGGCAGUUAUCCUUUAUAAGCCAAUUGAAGCAGUUAGGCAAGCCCGGGCAUGAGUGACAAUGUUCAAGUUCUUGUACAAGCAGAAAUGUUAGGAGAUGAUAACUAUAAUUGGAACUCUGCUGGCACUUAACCUUUGCUUGAUCGCUAAACCUUAAGGAAACUCAAGUUUUAACUUGUAAUUUGAUAUGAUGUUCUCAUUUAAGCUGUCUACAACUUCUCUAAGUUUCGUGAUUUUUGCUCCCAGAAAUGCUGAAGACUCCAAGAGUCUAAGUUUUAUUACAAAUAAAACCGACAAUAUUAAUAGGUUAGUGUUCCAAAUAAUUUUAGAUUAUCAGAAAAGCGACACUAACAAGCAAGAAACUUGUCAUUCCAAACCUACCAUCUGGUAAAGGAAGGAGAGAAAUUGCCCAUAAUCUCACAACUCCAAUCUCAAUUAUAAUCUAGAAACUGUUAAAUUUACUACUAGAAUGUCAUUAAGCCUGAGAGCACAACAUGAUUAGUCGACACCAGCUCUUUGAAAUCGCCAUUAACGAACCAGGUAAACUACAUACAACAUAAAUAACAAACAAUGCGAUGAAUUCAUGGCAGCUAAAGUGUCAAAAGAGAGAGAAGGAAAGAGGACCUGCUCAACAUCAUCUCUGUCAAAGUCAUCACGGGACUGGCUGCCAUAAAUGCCAGCACCUUCAGCAUCAACACCAUUUUUACCAAAUUUGAACCAGCACUUUGCUCUUGACCCAUUGGAGGGUCCAAUUCUAACGGGUCUUAACCAACCAACAUUACUUUGAAGACCCAGAAACUGAGAAUUGAGUUUAGGCAAAAAAGGUUGAGAACUUUGAGGAUUGGAAGCGAGAGUAAGAUGGGUUGUACUUAGGAUUGAAGCCAUAACCAACUAAACUGUGUUUUCUAAGAACUCAAAAAAAGGACCGUGGAACUUGAUGUUAUCAACUUCACUUUCUAUCCACACAUGUCUUGUCUUGUCUUUUCAUUUUCUUUUUCCUCUUUUUUUUUUUUUUUCUAUCUUUUCUGGCACAAGUGAAGAGGAGGCUAGGACAGAGUGUUUUGCUUACAUGGUGGGAAUCCAAAAAUCAGCCUUUAUUUAUAGUAUGCUGAUCAGGUGGCUAACAAUCAUCCUCAUUUUCCUUAACUCCUGGAUUCAUUUGCUAGAUAGCUAGUGGGCUAUUUUUAUGGGCCAUUUACCCAACUCAAAAAUUAAAUUCAUAAAUAUAUAAAAAAGUUACUAAUAUUUUAUAUCACAAUAUAAAAUAUAUAUCAAUAUUUAUACAUGAAAUAAACUCUAUCUCUAAUUGAUAAUUAUAAGAAAAGAAUUGAGAUAUUAAUAUAAUCUCUAUAAAAUAUGUUAUUCUCAUAUAUAUAUAUAUAUAUAUAUAUAUAUAUAUAUCACAUAAAAUUUUAAAUAAUUAUAUAUAUAUAUCACAUAAAAUUUUAAAUAAUUAUAUAUAUAUAUCACAUAAAAUUUUAAAUAAUAUAGAGUAAACUUCUUAAAUCUCUUAAAUUAUAUAGUUACUUAUUGACACUCUAUCCAUCUAUCUUGACAUUUAAGACUUUGAAAAUGUUUUAAAAUAGGUAAAAAAGAAAUCUAAUAAUUAUAAUAAUAAAAUUUAUCAAACUAUUAAGUUAGAUUCUUGAAUUACACACACAAACGAGAUUCUUUGUUAUUUUUUAAGAUUCAUAAAAGUUGUUGCAAAGGGGUACUAAAAUAAUGUUAGGGAACACCAAGCAAACCAUGUUCUUAAAAAAAUUAAUUUUUUUUAUAUAAAUUUAUAUAUAUAUAUAUAUAAUUGUUUUAAUGCGCUGAUUUCAAAAAUAAUUUUUAAAAAAUAAAAAAAUAUAUUUUGAUGUAUUUCGACAUGUAAAAUACUUUAAAAAACAAUCACAACCACACUUUAAUUCGUCAAAGAUGGUUGUUGUGUGGUUUAAAACCUAUUUAUUUUUGUAUUUUAAAGGUAAUUUAAAAAGAAAUAUUUUUUUUAUUUUAAAUUAAUUUUUUGAGUAUUUACAUAUUGUUUUAAAGUGAUGAUAUUAAUAAAAAUAAAAAUAUAUAUAUUAUUUUAAAAUAAAAAAUUAUUUUAAAAAAUAACUGAUAAUACAAUAUUAAACAUGCUAUUAAGCUAUGUGGUGGUUGCAGCCACUAAUCUUGGCCUUGCGCGGUGGUUUGUUGAUUUGAAAUUGGUAAUUUUGGGUGAAGAGAGCUUCUUUUGGAGGAGAGCUCUUAGAUAGGCUAGGGUUUUUUUUUUUUUUUUUUUUUCUGGUAAAUAUUUUUUCUUGUUUCUUUUCUCUAAAAAUUUUCGAUCUUCUCCCUUGAUUUUUUUUUUUAUCUCCUCUCCUUUUUUGCUAUUUUAUUCACUCCAAAUUUCCUCCUCCCGUUUCAUUGUGUACAUAUUUUUAAAAUUUUAAAUAUUAAAAUCUUUUCAAAUUUUAAAAUUUAUUAUUUAAAUUUAAGUUUUAAAUUCCUUUAUUUUGAAUUUUAAUUUCAAAUCUUUUUAAUUUUAAAAUUUAAAAUUUUAAAUCCUUUAAUAACUCUCCUAAUCUUAUAAAUUUUAUUUUGGUCCCUCUUUUCUUGGUCACUUAUCUUUUACUUUUUGAUCUUUCAAAAAUUUUUAUUUUUAAAAAUAUAUUUGAAAAUAAAAUUAAAUUUGAAUUAUAACAAAAUUUUUGUUAUUUCUUAUAUAAAAACUCCUUUAAACAAUAAAAGUCAUUAAUCAUGUCGAUAUUUUUAAUUUUAUACAUUUUAUAUGUAAUUAAAUUCAAAAAUAAUAAAAUUACAUUAAAAUUUAAUAAAUUAUUAAAUUGAUCCCUUGUUAUUUUCUUAUAAGCGACCCUUGAUUAUUUUCUUAUAUUAUCUCUUACUCGUUUAAAGAAAAAUAUUUAUACAUUUUGAAAACCUAAAAAUAUUUUUUUAAAAAACCUUCUCUGUCAAACAACAAAUCAGCAUUUUUAUUCGUGCCUGUAUUAUUAACAUUUAGUUCAUGUAUAUUAAAAAAAAUUACAAUGCUAAUAUAAUCACAUUAAAAUUUAGUGGUUUUGAAUAAAUUUUUUAUUCAUGUUUAUACCUUAUGUAUUUUCUUCCAUGUGAAUGGUGUUAUUCAGAAUAUAUUCUUACAUUUUCAUGGACAACAAACAGGAAGAUACAGCAUUUCAUAGGUGAAAUGGAGUCAUCACUGUAUUAUUAGUUUUGUGUUUUUCAUUUUAUUUUGGAAGGGUUUUUAAAAAAAUUUAAAUUUUAAAUUUUUUUUCUUUACUUAAAAUUAAUAUAUUUUUUAAAUAUUUUCAGAUCAUUUUAAUGCGUUGAUGUCAAGAAUGAUUUUUAAAAUAAUUUAAAAAUUAUAUAAUAAAUACUUUAAAAAACAAUCACUGUGACAUAGCGCCAAACACAAAACUAAUAAUGCAGUGGUGGUUCCCUUAACUUGUGCUGACAAAGUUUUCUGGGUAGAAAAGUGGGUUUCUAUUUGUUCUGCAAAAUUAAAGAGGUGUAGUGAAUUUAGCCACAAAAACUACUCCAACAGUCAACUUUGAUUUGCAGGCAUACCAAAUUGUAGGUGGUUUCUUUAAUGCCAUUUACUCUCUCACCGAGCAAGUAAAGAACAAGCAGCUGAGGAAACCAACCGUCACAUGUACAAUCGGUGAUAGAUGAGGAACGCCACCGUUAUCUUUCCCAUGCCCUUCCACGAUGAGCAGAACAAGCAACGACUGCCCCAUUCCUCAAAAGCACUCAAGUUGAUGCACCAAACUACAAUCCUUCCUUUACCCUUUCUUCACUUGCCAUUCAAGACAAGAAGAAAAUAACAACCUUCUACAAAUGGAGAAGAAAGAAGUCAUCUUUCCCUUUGGAUCUCUCACGUAAUCAUUUUGACAGGGACGAGGGAUCUAAGUUGGAUUGUUGGGUCUUGGAUGCCAUGUAAUGGCCCUGUUAUCAGAUAAUUUAGUGCUGUUGCCAAUCAUAAUCUCAGGUCAUAGCCAAAAACAUGGAGAGAUCAACAUGUGAAAGAGGGUCAAUAAAAAAAAAAGUACAGUGGUUAGCAAAUUAAAUGUUUUAACUGCAAGCACAUGAAUACAAUGACAAUGUCACCAUCUGAUCUAUAAAAUGUAAUGCUGUUCGCUUCAGAUAAAGAAGAAUUCAAGUGAUAACACCGAGUAUAAGAGCAAUCACUAGAUGGCAUGGUCUCAAAGCAAUUUGCCCACCAAGACAGAGACCAUCAACCAACUCUCUUCAUCUGCAAGCCUCCUUCAACUGAACAAACAGAGCAUGCAUAAAUCCAGCAUCAUUCCCACAAGAGUCUCCGAAGACAUGGCUGCACAAAACCCGGUACAAAUAGGCACAAGAGGCACCGUUGGGUCCCUCGUAAUGCAAGAAAUCAAGUACUUCAGCCAGCUUGAAAUAAGCUGCCGAGAAAGCUCAAAGAAGCCCCAGCCUCAUGUUACUUCCCUGGCUUCAACUAGUAAUCAAUCCAAAACCACUCUUGGAUCUGUAAUAACAACCCCGAAAAAGAAAAUGAAAGGAGGCAGCAGGCGUCUACCGAGAAUUUGUUCUAUGGUGGAAGUGUCUGAUAGCAGUCGGCCGAAUGGGAUUUCAAGAUUCAGUUAUAGAAACCUGAAAUCUGAUGUCAAGAAGUUGCAAGCUUAGUCAAUGCUCUCAGAUAGCUUUGAGAAACCGAGCUUCUUCAGUUUAUUUGUUAUAGGGUUAGCCCAUGCUCUAUCUGGGUUACCACAUUUUAUGUCCACAAUUUCCACAAUAUGAGUUGCUUUCUUGUCAGAUUUCUCCCUACUAGGAGUUCUAUCCAAAGUAAUAUUAUCAGAGCCAAGCAUUGGCAUUCGAUGGGUGCUUUUAUUGAAGCUUUUCACUUUCCGAGUAGUUGCAGGGCUUCUAUGAUCAAUGCCGCUGCGACAGCCACUGCUGCUUGCUUCAUCUAAUGAUUUUCUUGCUUGUAGUUUUCUAGGAGUAGGAGCGCUACAGGGCACCGAAACAGGAAUAGUUCUAGGCUUACCUUGACCAGAUGCUGAUGCUUGUGGGGAUGGUUUUAUUGAUUCCAUCUCCCUUGUCAUCAGAUCACCAAUGGUUCCAGUGGUACCCACCCUGAUAGAUCCUCCACCCCCUUUGAUAGCUUCUAGUUUCUGAACCAUGUUUCUAUAUCCGUUCAAUCAGAAGUAUGAGUUCGAUCUUCUAGUAUUAUAGUUAUUAACCUUCAGAGCUUCUUGAGAUAAUUUCAGCCAAAUAAGUUCAAUAGCCUGUUCGCAAUGGACACCUGCAUGUACAUGGUACUUCUUAGUAGAAAUCUGCAUAUAUGGUUUUGAGUCCAUGCAACAAGAGGAGAGCUAAACACACACACACACACACACACAAACAGCAAAAUUUCAAAUAAACUAGCUGGGACAUUUAGAUGCAGAAUACUUUACAGGAUACCCCAAAUUGAAAAUGAAGAGUUUUUUUUUUUUAAAUCAAAACAUGUAAAAAACAAAGGAUUAACAACAGAUUAGUGAACAUCUUCCCUGAAGAGUUGCAAGGAAGAAAAGGAUAGGGUUUAUUUGGAUCCUAAGGAAACGAGAGGUAUAAUCUAGCAACUGAUUCCAAGCAAACAUUCAUCAAACAUGAGCUAGGUAAAAGAAUGAGAAAACAUCAGCAACUUGUGACAAUAGUAAUAAGCUCAUAAGAGUUCAUAUUAACAUCAAUUAGGUUCCAGAAGUUGCAGGGUUCAAAACAUGGUCAACAAUAGAUCUUGAAUCCACAUUUGUAUAUAAAAUGCAGAAAGCAAAAUGAACCCCAAAAUGAUACCCUAAGUUCCAGAUACCCUACGACCAUUGGAAUCAGAGCUAUCAAUUUCAAUGAGAAAACAUCAGAUAGAUAGAUUUAUCCAGAUUUCAGAAACCUUUAAUAUCAUUUAAGUUGACCUAAAAGAUAUCAGGGAGUCAUCAAUCGUACUAAGAACAUCAGAUAUACACCAACAGCAGCAACCACUAGUAAUUAUUGGACAUAAAAGAAGGCCAUAAAUUCCUUGUUUUUAUAACAUCAAAUAUAUAAACAAAAGAACCCCAACAACCUUUAAUCAAACCACGAACAAUCAAAUGCAAUGUCAUAAAAGAAGGAGAUAAAAAGAUGAUCAUACCCUAGAUCAAAAGCAAGCCAGAGACACUAAUUUUUUUUUUUUUAGCCAAGCCAAAUUCGAAGAUGACAACAAAAAUCAAGAAUCUGACCUCAACCGAGAAAAUGAAACAAAACCCAGAAAUGAGAACUUUUUUUUGUGUGAAACUGAGAUCUUUUCACUUAAAAGUGUUUGCUUAUACCACGUGUGAUGUUGUCGCAUUCAAAGAACAUAAUAUCUAAAGUCUUAACUUUUGUUAUGAAAUUUGACUUCCUGAGGUGGUGUUUCUUGUCUUUUUCUGCGUUUUGUCGAGGACUGCUCGAAAAGCACGGUAACCAAUCAUGUCGCAGUGAAUUCUGACUCUUGCGGUGAACACCAAACAGUAAUAGUUGUGACCGUUGGGGUAGUUUACCAAUCGCUAGCUAACAAAAUUUUGUUUGUGUUUUGGAGUGUACCGGAUUCUGAAAAUAAAUUAAAAAUAUUUUAAAUUAUUUUAUAUAUUAAUAUAUAUAAAAAAAAAAAAAACCUUCACUUUGUCGUGAACUGAAGCAAAAAGAAUUUCAUAUACUAAAAUAAACUAUCAAUUUUCAUGUCACAAAAUAGUAUAAUUCUUUUUGCUGAAUAAAAAUGGUAUGAUUAGUUUGUUACUAUUUAUAUAAUGACAUUUUAUCCAUUUAUCAUUAAAGUAAUUUCGUCCACUUUCAUUAGCAAACUCCUAAAAAAAGAAUUUUACGUGAUGUUGAGCAUCAAAUCAAAAUUUAUAAGGAAAAAGAGAGAGAUUGCAUCUGAAAUAGUUAGGGUGAGCAAAAAAAAAAACUAAAAAAUUAAUUAAAUCAAGAAAAUAAAAAAAAUAUUAAAAAAUCAAAUCGUAAAAAAAACUAAUUAAAUUUUUUUAAAAACCGACUAGUUUAGUUUGAUUUCGGUUUUUUUAGUUUGGAACUGAAAAAACUGAGCUAAACCCAAACAAACAAAAACAACAAAAUCUCGAGCUAAACAGAAAAAAUCGAGUCAAACCGGUUUGAACAAGUUUUUGUUCAAAAAUACUUAAUCGAACCGAAAUUAGUCGGUUUAAGCUUGUUUCAGUUCGGUUUAAGGUUUUGUUUUUUAAAAAUUUAAUUUAAUUAUUUUUUUAGAUAAAACCAAACCAAAAAAAAAAUAUCACCCUAGCCUAAAAUAUCAACAAUAAGCAUAUACAUAUACAUGCAUCAUGAAUAGUCCUUGAAUCCUCGUGCAGUGCUAGGCCCAUUGGGCAUUUGCCAAACUAGAUGCAGCCCAAAAUAGAAGCCCACCCUGGAAGUCCAACACAGCAAAAAAAAGGUAGAGCUAUCUUGGGUAGAAGCGGAUGUCAGAAUGAAAUUUAAAGAGCUUUGUUUUAAAGUAAUUUUUAUUUAAAAAUAUAUUUUAUUAUUAUUUUUAAAAUUUAUUUUUAAUAUUAAUAUAUUAAAAUAAUUUAAAAAUAUAAAAGAAUAUUAAUGUAAAUAAAAAAAUAUUAAUAUUUUUAAAAAACGAUAGAAGCCACUAUUUUUGUAUAUUGGUUUUUGGUGCAGGAGGUGCGAAGGGAACCCUACCUUUUCAAUUUAUUGGUGACAAAAGAGGGAUAGCACUUGAAAGAUAGGUUUUGGUGAUAAGGAGUUUCGCUAAAAAAAUUAUGUAGUAAGUUUAAAUCUUAAAAUUAAUGUUUAUAAUAAUUUAUUUACUUAUUUAUUAAAUAGAUUAAAUUGAUCUGUUUUUUAAAAUUGACAAAGGAGGUAUUUAAUAUAAAGCAUUAAUAAAGGAGGUAUUUUUAGCAAACCGUGUAUCUAAAAAAUUAAAAAGAAUUUUAUUAAAAUUUUAUUUUUUAUAUGUUUGGGAUCGUUUUAAUACACUGAUUUUAAAAAUAAUUUUUAAAAAAUAAAAAAAAUAUUAUUUUAAUAUAUUUAAACACAAAAAAAUAUUUUAAAAAACAACCGCAAUUAUAUUUCUAGAUAGUCAUUAAAUAAAAAAAUGAUGGUUAAAGAAGAGCAUUCUGGAUUUUAAUUUCACGACAAGUAUAUAGAGGAAUUUAAUUUUAUCUGAAAGGAAAUUUUAAUAUAAAUUGAUAUCUAAAUUUGUUAAAAAAAUAGGAUAAAUUAUCUGCUCAACGCAGAGACUCCCACGUCAAGUGGCGUGUUAAAUCCCUUUUAUUAAGCUAAAUCACGAAGAAGAUUAUGAUUGAUGGCAAUGGAUUUCCAACUCAGCUUGUAAUAAAUUAUUGAAUUUAUCGUUUAAUUCCUAACAAAUCCAGCAGGUGAAAGUUAACUCCUCUUUGUGAUGGUUAAAUUAAUCUGCACUCAAUUAAUAUUAAGCUUGCUUCAUACCCUUUCCCACUAAUAUUAAUAACUAAUUAUAUCUGUGAUAAUAAUUAUUUUUGAAAAUUUUUUUUAUUUAGAAAUUCUUUAAAAUAUAUUUUAUUUUUAAUUUUUUAAAAUUAUUUUUUACAUUAACAUAUCAAAACUAUAAAAAAAUAAUUAAAAAAAUCAAAUUUUUAAGAAACACGAUUUCAACCACAUUUUCAAACAGUAUCUAAAAACAAAAUUAAUUCUAAAUGAGUUUUUAUAAUCCCAUAUAUUUUUCAAUUAAAAAUAUAUUAAAAUAAUAUUAUUUUAGAUUUUCUUUUAAGUUUUAACAUCAUUUUAAAAACAUUUUAAAAAAUAAGUUUAAUUGUAUCGGCCAUUGCUCAUUACCCGAUGGAGCCUAAGCCUAAGAACUACGAGCUUAUUUGUUUUUGUGUUUUAAAAAUAUAUAUUUUUAAUUAUUUGUUUCUUUACUUGAAAUUAAUUUUUUAGUGUUUUCAUGCUGAUUAAAAAUAAAAAAAAUUAAAUAUUAUUUCAACAUAUUUUCAAAUAAAAAAUAUUUUAAAAAAUAAUUUUUAUCACAAUACCAAACAGAUUUCAAGAUAAUAUUAACAAUAACUUGUCACUAAUCUAACUAUGAUAAAAAAAAAUAUAAUGAUUAAAACCAUGUUUUAAAUGAUAAUAUUUAUUUUUUAAAAUGUGAUAAUAGUUGUUUUAUAUUUUUUAUUUGAAAAUAAAUUAAAAUAAUAUCUAUCUAUUUAAAUAAAAAAUUGACUUUUGAUAUAAUAUAUUAAAAAAUUAAUUUAAAAUAAAAAGAAAUAAAUUCUAACCACCCUCCGUAAGUCACGGUAGAAAAUGAAAAUGGGAUUUUAUCUAAAGUCACAAUAACCAACUUAUAAUUGGUGUUUCCUAUUGCAAGAACAUUGGCAGUGCAAGUUACAUCCUCGUCAAUCCUAAAACGUGGACGCCACCUUUCUACUCAUCAACCCCACAGGCAAUUCAUUAUUUAAGAAUUCGUUGUAUGAAAUUGUUCUUCUUACGAUCUUUCCUUCCAAACAAAUCUAAAUAUACAGUAAAGAACUCGGGCAAAAGGGUCCCACCCAUAUAAUAGGACUCUCACAACCGAUUAGAUGUUGACUUCUUAACUAGUCAUACAAAUCAGGGGUCAAAAUCAUCUGAUCAGACCAUUGUGUUACCCCACCAUGUUGAACCCAAAGAGACAACUUGGAAAAAAACAAAGGUUGGAGGCUCCUCCUGGUUUCCCAUCUCAAUGGUGAUUAUUGUGAUCUAAUCUGAUCUGUAACUAGCAAUUUAAAGUCUUGUUUGAUUUUCAAACAAACAGAAUCCAUUUUGUUUUCCCUCACUCUCACACCUCACAAAGAUCUUACCUUUUUCUGGCCUUCUCUUCAAAAGUUCACAUGUCCUCUCCCCAACAAAUGCAAUCAUCUCCAGACCUCACUGCCUUGCCUUAGCUCUCUCUCUCUCUCUCUCUCUCUCUCUCUCCAAGGGCUCCUGUUUCCUCUCUCUGUAAAGCCAUUUCCUUCAAAAACCCUGAGUUUCCUUUUUCUAAAAACCUCAAUUUCCUUCAAAACCCAUUUUGCAUUUCCUUAAAAAACUCCAUUAUCAAUGAGUUCACAAGCACCCAAAUCAAGUAAACCAACAAAACCCCAAAACCAAAACCAACCCACAUCAAGAUCCCCUUCCUUGUCAACCCAUUUAGCCAUGGUUGAACUCAAGCAAAGAAUCAUAACUUGUCUCUCUAAACUUGCAGACCGUGACACUAACCAGAUCGCCCUUGAAGAACUUCACACAAUAACACAAACAAUCUCUCCUGACGCGUUGCCAAUGUUGCUAAACUCUCACUAUGACUCACUUUCUGAAACCUCCAAUUCAAAGCCCUCGGUUAAGAAAGAAUCUUUGCAUCUUCUUUCACUUGCUUGCCAAUCUCAUAGAGAUUUGACAUUACCCCAUUUGGCAAAAAUCAUUUCUUGCAUUGUUAAAAGGCUUAAAGAUUCAGAUUCUAGUGUUAGAGAUGCUUGUAGGGAAGCUAUUGGGGUUUUAUCAGGGUUAUAUUUGAAGGGUAAUGGUGGUGGUGGAGAAGGAGGUGGUGGUGGGGAUGGUAAUGGUAACGGUGCGGGGCCUAUGGUGGGGUUGUUUGUGAGACCUUUGUUUGAAGCAAUGGGAGAGCAAAAUAAAGUUGUGCAAUCUGGAGCUGCUAUGUGUAUGGCGAAAAUGGUGGAGUGUGCUGCUGCAGAAGGGGAUGAUAGUGGUGGUAAUGUGCCCAUUGGGGCAUUUCAUAAGCUGUGUCCAAGGAUUUGUAAGUUGCUGAAUGGACAAAGUUUCCAGGCGAAAGCGGCUUUGUUGGGGGUAGUAACGAGUUUGUCACAGGUUUGUGAAAUGUGGUUGUUUGAUUUUAUUAUUCAUUUUAGCAAUGUGUGUAAACUGUGUUGCUUUUUAUUAUAAUUUGGCUGGUGUGUAUAUUGUUAAUUAUGUGAGUCUGUUUGGUUUAUGAGAAGUUGUGGAUGAAAUGAGAUUCUGUUUGUGGCUUUGUUUUUGGGUUUCGUACUGAUGCAUUUUCGAUUAUAUUUUGUUGGGAAAGAGAAUGAACAAUGGAUUGUUCUGAUGAUGCGUGAUUGAAUUUAAGCUCUGUGGUGAUUAUGGUGAAUGAUGAUUUGUAGGAUAUGCGUUUGCCAAGUUUGAUAGCGUGGUUGUUUCAUGUGUGAUUUAUAUGGGUUUUUAUCAUUGUGCAUCGAUCAAUCUUUGGUUAAGGCUUAAAAGGAAUUGAAAGAGAAGGAAUGGAAAUUUGGGAUUUUGGCAUUUGGUUAUGUUCGAUGAUGCACUGUGUUUAUUAAUCUUGACAAUCAGCAUUAGAGAAAGAAGGCAUAAGUUGUGGCCGGAUAUUCUGUUUUUUUCUUCUCUGAUCUGUAAACUAAAAGUUGCCAAAAGAGAAGUACCACCUCUUGUUUGUCAAGAUGCUUGGAUUAGGUAGUCUAAAUUUAUGACUAGCUUGAAUGGCUAAAAAUUGCGAGGAAAGAGAAGAAAAGGUUGAAUUUUAUAGUGUUACCUGUGAAGGUUUCAUGUCUCAUUUGAUAAUUUAUAAAUCGUGGAUAGAAAAUUUGGAACGUUGGCAUAGGUUUUCCACAGUCUGUCUCUCUCUACAAUCCCAUUCUUAACUGAAAUCUCUCUCCCUCUCCCUCUCUCUUUUUCUUUCUCUGGCUCAGACUCUCUUUCCUCUUUUAAAAUACCACCCAUUUCUCCGCAAACCAUGCAAGAUGAGCACACAAGCUUUCAAAUCCCCUAAACCUGUGAAAUGCUUAAACCAAUCUCCACCCCAUCCUCCUCUACAUCAUUUUCUCUUUCCAAGCAAUUAGCAAAUAUUGCACUCAAGCAACAAAUCUUACUCUCUCUUUGUAAACUUGCUGACCAUGACACCCAUCAGGUUGCUUUGGAAGAUCUCCAUUCCAUUACCCAAUCCCUGCCCCCCUAUGCAGUCCCUGUGCUUCUUAACACCCUCUAUCAAUCCUCUUCUGACCCCACCAAUAAACCCAUUAUUAAAAGGGUAUCUCUCCACUUACUCUCUCUCUACUGUCAAUGCCAUCAUGAUUUAAAGUUACCCCGUUUAACCAAAAUCAUUUCCCACAUUAUCAAAAGGUUGAGAGAUUCAGAUUCAAGUGUUAGGACUGCUUGUUGUGAUGCCAUUGGGGUUUUGUCAGGGUCAUAUUUGAAGGGUAGAGUGGGGCUGUUCAUUGAGCCAUUGUUUGAUGCAAUGCGGGCACCAAACAAAGGUGUGCAAUUGGGUGCAGCUAUGUGUAUGGUGAAGAUGGUUGAAUGUGCUCAACUAGAUAGCAUACUAGUUGGGGAAUUUCAGAAGCUGUGUCCUAGGAUUUCUAGGUUGUUGAAUUGUAAGAAUUUCUUGGCCAAGGCUGAUAUUUUGGGAGUUGUGAAAAGUUUGUCACAGGUUUGGGCAAUGUCGUCCAGUUAUCUCUUAUGUUUUUGAAAUGUACAAUGUUUUCUUUUGGUGAUAAUGCUACCUUUCAAGAUUGAAACAUUUGUUACCUUUCAUGACUCGGUUUAGAUUCAUAAUUUGUCAGACUCCUCCAAAUUGUAGCGCUUGAGAGAGAACAAAUUCCAAACUUCUAUAAUUUCCAAAUAGUUUUCUUGAUAAUUGUUAAAUAGCUUUCUUUGUUUCCUGAUUAUUUCAAUUCAAUAUUUUCUAGGCAGUUUAAAGUUUCUCUCAGUUCACUAAACUAGCUUAGUAGUGUUUGUUGAAGUAACUGUAAUUGUCUCAUGAUUAUAAAUUAGCAACUCAAAUUGGAUAUUUGUAAAUUCUAGUAGCAAAGAGGCAAAAUCCAGGAGUUUUAUUGAUUUUUUUUUUACAGGUGGGAGCAAUUGCACCACAAGGUUUGGAACCAUUGUUACAAAACAUUCGUGACUGCCUUGGGAGCACAGAUUGGGCUACACGUAAAGCUGCAGCUGAUGCUUUAAGUGCUAUAGCACUGCAUUCAAGCCGCUUGAUUGCAGAUGGAGCUGCUAAUUCCACACUGACAGUGCUUGAAGCUUGUCGUUUUGACAAGGUACCUUCUUCAAACCAUUUUUUUUCUCUAUUUUUUUUUAAAUUUUAUUUACAGGAUUAAUGCCUCCUCUUGAUUAUCUCAUUUCAAUCAUUUUCAAGAUCAGUGAGCUUCCCUUGGUUUUUAUGAUUGUAUUGCUGAGUUCGUGAUGGAUGUGUGAUGCAUGCAUUUUAUUUAUUACUUUUUAUAACCUUGUUAAAGCUUUAAAUUUAGUUGUGUUUCACACGUGUUGUUUAUCACCUUGUGAAACAAAUGCUGCAACUAUUAAAAGAUGAAAAACAAAAGAAGCUACUCCAAAAUUUUGUUUCUCGAGAUAUAAAAAAACUCAUUUUCUAUUCUGUUAAAAUGAGAUUGAUUUGGAAAAAAAAUUAAGUGGUUUGAUAAUAGGUAUAAUAUUUAUCCUUUUCAAGCAAGUAUCCAACUGCUCCUCAUUUGGUGAAGAUGGGCCCUUCUUGUUUGCUCUUUUUUUGAAUACCCUUCCAACAAAAAAAUGAUUGGAUUUUACUGAUAGAGAAGAACAUUCAGCUAGAAAGUCCAAUCAAAUCUGUUGUGCAUUAUCCGGGAUGACAUGAUGAAUCUAUGGAAGGAAAAGAAGGCACUUCUAAACUGCCUAGCUUUUCUCAACUGUUCUACAAGCUGCCAAUUAACAAAAAUAUAUUAUUCUUGUGAUUCUUAUAUGGUAGAUAUGCUGUAGUCUUUAGAGGUGCAUGUUAAAUUCUAUAGUUUGAAGGAUUAUCUCGUUUCUAAUUUUGAACUUAAGGAUAUGGAAAAUAGGUUCAAGUUACCUGUUUCUGCCUUUUGAACUACCAUUCAUUCAUUACCAUUUAUUGGCAUAACAGAUAAAACCUGUCAGAGAUAGCAUGACAGAAGCAUUGCAAUUAUGGAAGAAAAUUGCUGGUAAAGGAGAAGGUGUUCCUGAUGACCAGAAAAGUUCCUCUCUGGGUGGGUAUUCGUGCAAUACUUUUCUUUUUGUUUGUUGUAUCUCAUCACAGGGGUGUGAUGUCCCUGCGACACUGUUAAUGAACCUUCAAUUUCAAUUAUCUAAUCAUUGCUUCUUCACCUUUUUCUUUAUAUUUAAUGUUUAGAUGGUGAGCAUCAUGAACAAGCUGAGUUGUCAGAUAAAAAUCUAAAUCCUAAUGACCAAAGAAAGGAGUCAUCAGCAAGGGAUGCAUCCAAUGGUACUUCCCCAACCAAAGAUUCAGCAUCAAAAAGCAAAGGCGGAAGCAUUCAUGACAAAGCAGUUGUAAUAUUGAAGAAGAAAACUCAUGCUUUAACAGAUAAAGAGUUAAACCUAGAAUUCUUCCAGAAACUUGAAAAAAGGGGUUCUGGUGAUUUGCCAGUAGAAGUAGUUGUUCCUCGUAGAUGUCUCGAUUCUUCCAAUUUGAACAACGAGGAAGAAUCAGAACCAAAUGAUUCAGAAUCAAGGGGGAGGCCAAACCGCAUGGGAAACAGCCAAUCGGAUGAUAUUCAUGGAGCUUUCAACACCAAAUUCCGCAAUAUAGAAAGAGGAAUUACUGGAAAAGAUUUAAGAACCAGAACAUUUGAUGAUGAGAGGAUUGACAUAAACCAUAGGGAGUCUUCUGGCAGUCGUGCAGGUUUCUCCAAAUCUGAUGGUCAAUCUGAGGGAUCCUUCAUAAAUAAUAAAGGAAAUUGGUUGGCCAUCCAGAGACAGUUAUUACAGCUGGAGAGACAACAGGCUCAUCUCAUGAACAUGCUUCAGGUCUGUGUAUAAUUUUACAUUAAGGAAAUUGUUAUUAUGCAUGUUUUUAUUUUGCUAAUGAGAUGCUUUACAUUGUAGGAUUUUAUGGGGGGGUCUCACAACAGCAUGGUAACAUUGGAAAACAGAGUUAGGGGUCUUGAGAGAGUUGUUGAAGACCUGGCACAUGAUUUGACAAUAUCAUCAGGCCGCAGAGGCAAUAACUUUGCUAUGGGUUUUGAGGGAUCUUCUAAUAGACCUUUAGGGAAGUAUAAUGGCUUCUCUGACUACUCUAGCACAAAGUACAAUGGGUGGGUUCCUCUUGGGGAAAGAUUUUCCCAAUCGGAUGUUACAGCUUCAGGCAUGAGGGGAAGGGGCUCUCAUAGGAGAUCAGACACAUCUGAUGCCUGGGAAUUCCCCACAUAUGGAGCUUCCAGGAAUGGACAGGCUGUCUCAAGGAGAGCUCCAGGCAGUGGUUCUUUGAAUGUUAGAUCACCUAAAUCUGAACAUGAAGGUGAUCAGUUAGGCAACAGGAGAGCUUGGGAGAAAGGAGCUGGACCUGUUAGGCAUGGUGAGGGACCUUCUGCUAGAAGUGUCUGGCAAGCCUCAAAGGAUGAAGCUACCUUAGAAGCCAUUCGGGUGGCUGGGGAGGACAGUGGGUUAGCUCGGACAGCAAGAGUGACCAUCCCUGAGAUGACUGCAGAAGCUAUGGGAGAUGAUAAUGCUGGGCAAGAAAGGGACCCUAUAUGGACAUCUUGGAGUAAUGCAAUGGAUGCCCUUAAAAUGGGGGACAUGGAUACAGCUUAUGCUGAAGUUGUAUCCACAGGGGAUGAUCUCUUGCUUGUGAAGCUUAUGGACAGAUCAGGUCCUGUGGUUGACCAACUUUCCAAUGAGACUGCAUGCGAAGUCUUGCAUGCUAUUGGACAGUUUCUAAUGGAGCAGAACUUGCUUGACAUCUGUUUGUCUUGGAUUCAGCAGGUAUGGUUUUCUCUCCACUCAAUAUUAUGAGUUGCAUGAUUUGAGUAAUUCUUUACGCAAACUCUAUGUAAUAAUAACAUUUAGAACCCCCUCACCCCCAAACCCAGAUUAUAUCAGGUUGAGGAAUGUUUAUAACUUCCAUCUAGAGUUGCUUCUGGAGUGCAUUAUAAAAUCAGCAGGUGUCUUGGAAGUGCCUAUAACCUAUUAUGUCGGUUGUCACAAAGCACAAAAGCCCCAACUCACUUGAAUUAUGCAUUUCAUAAAAUACAUUUGUAGGGCAUAGGUGUGAUUUAAUGGAAAAGAGAGAAAAAUGGCUGCUGCUAUUCCAACAUCAGUUUUCGAUUGUUCAAUAGCCAAGCCAUAUGAACAAAUUUCUUCUAGGCAUAUUUGGAGCUUGAUGGAUAAGGUUUUGAACUUUUCUUAUUGUUUAUUGUUUGGCAUUGCAGCGAACCCUCUGACCUAAUGUCCUUUCUCCCCCCCAGCCCCUGUGUAAAUGAGUUCUUAUAUUGAUCUCAUUUCCCAUACUAAUGGUUUGAAUUUGCUUGUUUAGUUGGCAGAAAUAGUGUUAGAAAAUGGAUCCCAUGUCUUUGGCAUUCCCAUGGAACUGAAGAAGGAUAUCUUGUUGAAUUUGCAUGAAGCUUCUACCUCCAUGGAGCCCCCAGAGGACUGGGAAGGUGCCGCACCCUACCAACUUUUGUUGCAACUGGCAUCUGCCUGGGGAAUUGAAAUACAACAGUUUGAGAAGUAAUCAAUAGUUGAAGCGCCUAUUUUACGCUCGGAUUCUGUAUUUUAUAAACAGAUUGAUUGUGGCAUGUGGUUAUACGUCCUGAAUUUUGGAAAUUAAAUGUAAAUUGAAAGACAAGGUUUUUCAAACAAAUAUAUGAUCACAUGGAUUUACUCGAGUUACACACUGGAAUGCUUUGCACUUACAAUGCGAUGCGGAAGGGGUCAUUGGCCACAUUAAUUGAUGAAAACUAGCAAAAUUCUUGCAAAAAAUGAGGAACAAUUUCUUUUACAUGCUUCUUGAUACAAUUGCAUGGCGCCAACUCCCAAACUCACCAGAAAAUUUACAGGAAACAGUUGCAUAAAAUAACAUCAAUAUGCAGAGGGCGUCCGUACAUGUCUUCACCAUGGAUAUGAGAUUAGAAGACCGUCAAAGCAGGGCAGCAAACUCCCUUGCCUAUUCAUGGCCAAAACAGUGCAGCUACAUCAUCAAGGGCAACAAUUUGAUAUCAAGGUUGCUGUAUCGAGAAUGGCUCCCAGAGCAAAAUAGCCUCAAAGGAUGGAAUUUGCCUCGACAUGGACAAUGUGGACGGUGCGAGAAUAUAACUCCAUUCUCAAGGUAGGAGAAAGAAGGUAGGAGGAACCUCAAAUGAGAUUUCAGCCCAUGUCGACAUCCAAUUGUGGCAAUGGAGCCAUAUACCUAUUUAGCAGCAUACCAGUUUUGAGCACACUUUGAAUCAACAGCUAGGUCCACAUUAAGAAAAUUCUUGCCACCAAAGGGUUUAGACAUGCACCCAACAACUAUUGCCUUGGCAACCUCAGCUGACUCAGUUGGUCCUUCCAGGAUCACUUCAUCAUGAACCUGUGUUUUAGAUAAUGUUAAUUCAAACAAAUUGUCGGUUAUGAAUUUUUCUUGGAAGACUUAAAAUUACUCGCAUGUAAUUAUGAAUUCCCGGAGACUAAAAUGUGCAAGAGUAACAUUAUUGAAAAAUCACUCAAUUUACAAAGUUGCAUGGCAUCCUGUUAAAUAUGGCAUGCAAAAUCGAUGGAAGAAGGAUUCUAAAGACUACAGCCAUGACAACUUGGUUCCAAUCAAGGAUACAAAUUAAGACACGAGUGAAUGAAUGCAGCUUGCAAUCUCAUGCCAAAGCAGAAUCAUCAGAGGCAAACAUCAAAUUUUAACGACAAAAAAAUAUGUACCUGUAAAAGCAGCUUCCAUCCAAGUUCCUGCAGACGUGUGUUCUUUGAUAUUUCUAGCAUAGCACACAUAGCAACAUCUGCAGCACUACCCUGUAGCAGCCACUCACAUGAGAUAAGAGAGACAGAGAGAGCAGGAAAGGGAAAACUUAAGUGAAAAGGAAAGAAUGGAAGAACCUGCACUGGGGUAUUGAUAGCAGCCCGCUCAACAUGACCUCUUAGAGAAGAACUAGCAUCAGUCAAUGAUGGAAAGACACGAGCCCGUCCCAGCAAUGUGUAAACACGUCCAUUUUCUCUGGCUUCUUUCUUACGAGCUUGUUGCCAUUUAAGCACUUCUUUUCUUUCUUUAUACCAGAGAUUAACAGUUUCCCUUGCUUCCGCCACAGAAACCUGGAAACAAAGAUGAUAAAGACCACACCUAUGGAUCAGCAUGAUUCGAUUCAAAUCAGGACGAAUCACCAAUUAUUUUAGGUUUAUCCGGUAAAGUUACCUUCCAAUCCCUGGAAAGCCCCACAGGAGUCUUUCCAUAAGCAAUAGAAAAGUUAAGCAUUUUAGCUUUUCUUCUUUCAGAAGCAAAGGCAUCCUGAAAAAUAAGUUUCAUUCAGUAACACUAGGUACACUGAAUUCUAUAAUUCUACUUCUUGAUCAUAACAUAAUGCACAAACAAAAGGAGAAACAUUGCCAAAUCUUUAAAAUCAGAAAAAUGCAAAUAAAAUAAAAUAAAUGAUUUGACUACACUUGUUAGAUACAUUCACAAGCAAAAUGGAAGAAUAAUAAACAAUUCACCUUCAGUAACGGAACGGGGGGUUUGUCUUCACCAGGUUGAGGAUACCACUCAAGAAGCACUUGCUUUUUCUCAAUGGCCUCACGAAUAUGCGGAUACAUGUUCAUAGCUGUCCUUGAAUGGAAAUCUCCACCAGCUUUAAAGGCAUCCAACAUGCUCUUACAGUUGGCAAGAUGUGCAAGAAUCCUAAGUUCCAGCUACGAUACGAAUACAUAUUUCAAUCACCCUUCACUCACACUGAUUUAUUUAUGUAUAUAUAAACUCAAAUGCUUACUUGCCCAUAAUCAGCAACAAUAAGUGAAUUUCCAGGUGCAGCUAUAAAUGCCUGACGGAUCUUGUACCGGUCUUUCUCCAAAGCAGGCUGAUUCUGAUUUAUAGAAGACAAGAUGUUAGCACUCUUUAAUCUCUACUGCAUUCAGAAAGAAAACAAUAUUCAAAUUUCUUUUCUUGUCUUAAGAUUUUAUAAAAUCAACUGACAAACCACCAUGAAAACUCCAUGGUGCAUUCUAACACCAUCCUGACUGACUAUCCUACAAAAUGCCUUAGUAAUUGAUACCUCCAAGAAUGAAAAAUUAAAGCCUUUGCAGUUGCAAUUGGAAUAAUGGAUGCAAUACAUAGAUGCUUUGACGUGCAAGUAAAAGGCUCAGGCAAACAAUUGGUUUCACAGUUGUUAUGAUUAACUGAAGCAGCCAAACAGAUAUUUGAUAGAAGCAGCCAACAUAUUUCACGGGCAAUAGAAAUCAUAUUCCAUUCAGCACAUAACAAUUAGAAAGAUUCUCAACUAAAGCACCAGGGCAUCUUUGUUGAAACAUUGAAGUCAUAUUAAUUCAGUUAAUUCUAAGGUGUUAAAAUAAGAGUGAAAAGACCUGCAAAUUUGGUCUCCUAGCUGAUAAGCGCCCGGUUUCUGUAUUGAUAUUCAGAGAACAGUGAACACGCCCACCCUUGCCUGAUAUGUCGCUGCUCUGUGAUGGAAAGACACCAAUAUCAGUAUGAACUAGUCUGAAGAAUUAGAGGUAGAAAACAAAUGCAUGGACAGCAAACUUGCUUAAACUGAGAAAGCACUGAAAUCUAAAUGCUUACAGUACCAUUGGAAGAUAAAAACAUGUAUUAACAACAACAACAACAACAACAACAACAAUAACAAUAACAAUAAUAAUAAUAUUGUUAUUAUACUUGGGAUUGGGUGCUCUGGGAAGAACCAGGAAUGGAUAUUGGAGUUCCAUUUUUUGUCUUGUCCAUUAUUUUGUUUGAACCUUAGAGCUGGUUUGAGUUUUCCAGGAUGUUUUCAGUGUCUGCAGAGGUUGCUUUCUAGUUAGUAGAGUUCGGGGGACUCGUUAUUUACAGAUUGUUGACAAUUUCACUAGCGGGGGGUAGACAUUUAUUUUCUUAGGUAGAUUUAUGAUUUAGGAAUCCAAGUCCCAUUAGUAGAAGGAAUAACUCAGCCUAUAAAUAUGCUUAUAGUCUUUCAAUUUCAGUAUAAAACUUACUAUGACUAAAGUGCAGUCUUUUAGCUUAAUAUGUUGACAGUGCGAUGCUUUCGUUAAAGGAGCAAUUCCUUAAACCCUAGGUGAGUCCCUCGUUUUUUUUUCCCCUUUUCCAGCUUUUAUCAGAAUCUUGAACUAAAUACCCAUUGCACACAGAAAUCUUAGACCUCAACAAUGGCCCCAAUACAAUGAGGCAACCACAAUACCACAGCGGCACAGAAUAAAUGCAUCUAAUCAGGCACAGAGUUAGUUCACAUACAAACACAACGAUCAAAAGGAAUAGCACAUCAAAAUAGCAGUAAAAAUUACCUGCAGGGGGAGGAUGAAGUUGGAUAUCAAAGAAUCAAUAGAGCAAACUUCACAUAAAGAAGCAAUAGCAUGACAGGCCUCAACCCCUUCUUCUGGCGUUUGAAACCUACGCAAACCUGCUACAUACUCAGAUUCUACUUUAUUCUCAACAUAGGACCCUUCGGAAUUUGAAUCUUCAUCUGUCAUUGUCCCAGAAUCAUCCAAGACAGCAUCAUCUAACUGCAAGCCAGCAGCAUCAUUGGCAUCGCUAACAGCAUCAGAAAUCUUCCCAGCCAAGGCCUUCAAAGCAACUCCACUGACUGAAGGCCAACCACUUGCGGUAUAUGUCUCAACAGGCAGAUCAACUCCAAUGCUACAUAACUUAAUGUUGCGAUAUUUUGUGGGAGUCUUCUUGCCUUCUUCAAUCACUUUAUCAACAUUUGGAACUUUGAAUGUUUUAUCUUCUGGAAGAGUAAGGAGAGGAUCCUUGCUGAAAUGAAAAUAAUUAAAACAAAUGAGGUGAUUUUUCCAUCCACCCUUGGUUUAGAUGAAACUCGGUACUAACUGGUGCGCAUUGUCACUGGAUUUUAUGCAAGAAAACUUGACCCGAAUAAUUUCCGAAUUUAGGAAUUCCACGGUACAAAUACUUUUGUUCAAAUUGUAAUGAAAAUCAACUUUCAUGAGGAAUGUGUCCCCUUCCCAGGACAGGCCUCAAAUUUACACUUCAAAAGCACAUUCAACAAAAAACUGAUUCAUGGCACAAAUAUUUUGAUAUUUUUAAAUAAAGGAAGGAAGUUUAACUUUUACCUGUUCUGAACACCACCAAAAAGUAAUUGGCGCAGUUGUGUAUCACUUCCCACAUUCAUGUACUUGGCAUCAGGGCAAUACUUACAAGCCCAAUUACGAAAUCUGUUAGCAGCAACCUCCUGUUCUGCUUUGGCAACCUUCUCCACCUCAGCAAGAUAUGCCCGGUCAACCAGCAUGCCCUCGGUUUCCAUUCUAACUAGAAUCUCCCCAAAUGGUUGCCAGUAUUCCUGGUAGAAGUCAAACAUAGAUUUUUGAAAAACACGUUUUCCAUCCAUAUUCCAAGGCAUUUUAGAUAGUUGGCUCUCCAUGCUCUUAUAAAGCUGCAAAGUGCUUAUUGCAUCCAAAGCAGAAUAACAAAUCCACGGUUCUCGCUCUUCUCUUUGUAACUCUUCAACAGGGGCAAUGAUGGUCAGUUUGCCUUCAGAUCCAUCUUUUUUCAACUUUUUCUUGCCAAAGAUGGUUUUCAUUGACACUUUACCAAUCAAUUCUUUAUAGCAUGAUCCUGCCCCACGCAUGACUUUUUGAUCACCUGUAAGAGCUUCAAGAGAAUACCCACCCUUUAAUCUUCUUGAUGAAUCCCAUAAUCGUGCCAUGUGCAUUGUAUCAGCAUGAAAACCAGAAACAGAAAACCCGUAGUUCUCGAUGACGUGGUUAUCAAAGCUGUAGUUGUGCCACACCUGCAGAAAGGAUAAGCAACUUCAAUGUUGGUUCAAUUUGUAUUUGUGGACUGUGAAUGCAGCCUAGUAAAACAACAUGGCAUGAGCAGUUGAAUUCUCUAAAGUACAGACAAGGCUGUGGACUGUUUAACAUAGUAUAAAAUGAUCAUUGCUUUACAAGGAAAAAGAAAGAACAUGCCUCUUCCAGGGGGGGGGGAAAACAAUGUCAGAGUCCAAAUCUCUGCCCAGGCCAAAUAUAUAUAAAGGUGAAAAAUAAUUGCAACGGCAAGCUUAUUCACAUCAGCAACCUCCCACUAUGCUGAUGUUACAUCAAUUAUCUAAAUGACCAUCAAGCUAUGUUAAAGGAGCUGUAGAUCAAGAGAGCAACAACAAAUUAAAACUGACAAAAUUUACCUUUUUUAUGUCCGGGUCUUCAAAAAACAGAGCAAAUUCAUUCAAAAGAUCCCUGCCUCCACCAUCAAGAACAUCUACCCAGAUACAAGAUUUCCCGUGUCCAAAAUCUGCCUCUGGUCCACAAUAAAUACUGACACAUGUUAUCUCUCCAUGGUCAAUGGGUGUUUCCUCUUUCACAUCAAUUCUGGCAACCUAUAAAGAUACUUUAUCAGAAAUUUAAAUUAUAAAUACAUAGGAGUUCCAAUUAACUCAGAGACAUGCAUAUCCUUUAACAUUCAUGUACAUAGAAAAUGAGGUUGUAGUAUACAUGUAUGUGAUGUGGAAUUUAUCAGAAUCAGAAAUGAUGAGUUUUAAAUAUCAUGGUAUACUAAGAUUAAGCUUGACAUUCAUAGCAGAGCCAUCUAGGAGCAUUACAUACAUGUAAAGGUGAAAGCUAAAAAGCAAAGAAAAAUUAAUUUAAAACAAACCAAAUAUAACCAAAUAAAUCUUAAAAUUAAGCUUGAAACGUGUAUCUCUGCAUAACAAGGUAAUAUCCCUUUCACGUUAAAUAUGUGUCUGUAGUGUUUCGCUCUGGAAUAAAGAUUAAUUUUACAGAAGUUUUAGAAACUUUUACCUCUCUGGGAUUAUUGAGCUUUGGCGCAACUAUAGCAUCUUGCUACUGACAGGAACUUCAAUAUGAAGCCUGAGUAAUAUGCUAUAUUUUGAGAUUAGAAUUUGGUUUAAUAAUUUCUUUAAUUUUUGAAAACAAUUUGAACAGUUUUAAACCCACCUAGAAAUUGUCCUUUUUAAAACCUUAAUCCACUGCACAAUCAACUUCAAAAAUUAAACUUAAGCUAAAAUUACUGCUCACAUUAAAAAACUUGCACUGUGAACAGCUCAAUAUUCAUGUAUUCUCCUCUUAAGGUGGAUUCUAAAUCUGAGAGUGCAAUUUUGGCCUUAGUUUGCUUCCAUUGAAUCCUCAAAGAGCUACUUAUCUAACUUUUUAUGUUAAUGUCUACAUCAGUUUAGGGCAUUCCUGCAGUACUACACCAGCAUGCCUCUCUAUUGUCUGAGCAAUUAUAUCUUAAAAGAAGAUAGCAGAAAGAACUUGAUUUGAUUUAAGUGCAUACCUCAGUAUCGCAAGCAUGGAUAAGAUGCCUAUACUGAUUUGUAAGCUUACUAACAACCUCCUUUGCCAUAGUGACAUUAUCAACAACCAGUACACUCUCAUAUAUACUAGUAAGCCUCUCACGAAUGUCUAGCUUGUGAGGCCUUCCAUUGGUCUGGACUUGCUCCUUUGAACCAAUACCUGUGUGUCCAAGUUCACUAGACUGGAACUGCUUUUCAUUCUCCAUUCUCUGCAUGAACGAUCCAUUAUUCCACGCACUCUCUUUUAAAAUGUCAUCCAAAGAUGAACCAUUUGGCCUUUUGUUAUCAACCAGCUGACCAACAUUCCUGGAAAUUAGUUGUUUCUGACUCUUAGGUUUAUCUUGUGUUUGUAUUGCAUUAAUAUCCAUCCUUUCAUAUUUAAAUGAAUAAACACUACCAUCAUAUUCACAUUUCUGCUUCAACAGUUCAUUACUCUCCUGUUUCCAUAAAGCUCUAGUACCAUCACGAAGGAUCGUAGUGAACUCAAGACCAGGAGGCGCAUUAGAAUUUCUUGAAACCACCCUCCUCUUCUCAUCUCUCUUUUGCAUGUCAUCAAUCACUUGCAAAGGGAUUUUCCCCCAAAACCUAACAAAUACAAGGAACACAAAUUUUAUUCUAUACAUGUGAAGCAUCAAAUACCAAAAUCUUAAUCAGAAAGUGUAAUUUUUACAUGGAUUGACUCUCUUUAGUUAAGACCAAUAAGAGGUCUACAUAAACCGAUUCUAUACAACUUUUUAAUGGUUUACUUGCAAACACAUUUAGCAUGUUCCAAACACCAGAUUAUCAGAACACCCAGAUAGCAAAAACUAUGAAGACUAAACAACAUCUUAAACACUUAGUACAAAAUGAAGCUUUCUAUACUCAUAAUCAAGCAAGCCAUAAAUGGAACGGUAUGAACAAAUAAAAAUGUGAGUAUCAACUAAACUGAAAAGCCUACAAAAAUCACGUUGUUCAGUACACAACAUCAAAUUCUAUCAACACAAACCUUUGCUACACUACAUUACACUGCACUGCACUCAAAACCCAAACAAAGAAAGGAAAAAAACUGGGUGUUAAAUAAUUUCCAAACCCAGGUAGAAAAACUUUAAAAACAACAAAUGAAGGUCUUGACAUGAAUAAUAAAAGUGAAGAAACCUGUGAAGGGCAACAGAGAAAGGCCUAGAAGAACCUUCCCUGGAGGCAAAGCAAGGACAAGAGCGAGAUAACUUGAAAUAAGAAGGGCAUAUUGGUCUAAAAGGACUGAUUUGAGUGGUGGUGGAGGUGAUUCCCAUAGCUAAAACGUCAGCAAACCUCCCCAGCUUAGCAGCCCUACUUCUACUAUAUAUGAGAGCCGUUUUGUAAGGGUUUUGGUGGCAAAGAAAGUAAAAAGAAGGAACUUUGAGGGUGUGGUUUGUGUUAUCUGAGGGGGGAUGCAAGUGGGACUGUGAAAGAUACAGGAGCAGAGGGAGAUGGAGAAGACAAAUACGAGGGAAGGCCAAGAGGUCUAAACUAAAACCCUUUUGCGUCUUUUUCUUUCUUUUUUUUAAGGAAAAGCUCAAUUAUUAUUAUUAUUAUUUUAUCUUUUUUAUUGGCUGGCAAAUAUUUGUCUUUGUGUAUAAUUUUGACAUUCUAUAAUUUUUUGUUUGGGAAUUAAGGCUUGGAAAACUUGUUUAUUACAGAUAUGCCAUUAUUGGUGGGUCUGGUGGUCUAGCAGUGUAGUGGAUUCAUAUCUUAUUUCUUAUUCUUUUUAGAAAAAUCAUUAAUGUUUUUUACAAGUUAACUUGUCUAUAUCUAACUUAAAGCUUUCAAAGAAAAAAUCAAAAUAAUUUUUGUUUUAACUUUUUAUCUAAAAUAAAUAUUGAAACAAUUUUUUAAAAAACUGAUUUAAGUCCAUGUACCUAAUCUUAAUAAGAACCAUGCUAACCCAUAAAAUUCCAAUUUUUUUUUUUGCUAAAAUUUAAUGCGGUUUGUAUGUUUUGAAUUGUUUUAAUGUGCUAAUGUCAAAAAUAAUUUUUAAAAAUAAAAAAAAUUAUUGACAUACAUUUUAGCAUAAAAUAUUAUUUAAAAAAUAACCAUUACCACACUGCUAAACAUAAAAAUUAGCUUUGCCAUUGGUAGCAAGAAUAGCCUGGAAUUCACAAAUAAUAUUUCAACGAGGAUGAGACAUUAGUCUGGCACUAGUUUUUAAAGAGAGAAAUAAGAUUUUGAGAAUUGACUUAAUUGUAAGCAGAUUUUUUUUUAUAUAUAUAUAAUAUAAAUAUUUAAAUUAAUUUAUACAUAUUUCAACUAAUUUCACAGUUUUUAAAAUUAACAACAGAUUCUGUUUUUAAUAUUAAUUGAAAGGGAGAGAGGAAUUUAAAAUCUACUAUUUGACAUGAUUUAUGAGUAAUUAUUCAAAUUAUUUUUUUGUGCAAGAAUGGUCUCCCACCAUGCUUCUCUUCCUAGUUGUUCCUGUAAUUGUUUCCAGCAUAAAUUACACGGGUUAAUGUUUCAGCUUUCUUCCGACUAGAAACAAAAACCUCACGUAUUUAUACACUCAUGGAGGCUAAUGUGUGGUGCAAGGGAGGUUGUACGGAAUGCUUUAAUGGAGUUGCCUAUAAAAUAUGAUUUUAGGGAGGCUAAUGGCAAACUACCUGAUCUCCACUUUGGACAUGCUCUUUCCCUUGAGCAGCCCAAUAAAGAAGGGUUUUUUAGACACGUUGAAAAUAGAUUUAUCACAUGCCAUCAACUAUAACAGUGACAGCUUGGCUCAUAUUAAUAUACAAGUAGAUGCAGCUUGCCAUCAAAUUAAUAUUUUAAAGAUUUUAUAGUAUAUUUAUAGCCCAUAAACCCUGUUAUUUCGUUAAGAAAAAGGCAUGGAGUGUAAUCUUACCAUGAUAAUAUUUAAUGAGUUAAAAAUAUUAUUUACAUCUAUAUUAAUAUUUGAUAGGAAUAUGAUGGGUUUUUGAAGGACUUUUAUACACUUGAAAGGUAUAGAAAGAUUAGGGUCCAAGACUUCAAAAGUAGCCAAGUUCUUGGAGGCUAAGUUUUUCUUCAAGGAAAAAGUUGAUCAUUUCCUUGGGUGUAUCAAGAGAGGAUGAUCAUUUCCUUAGAAAUAUCUAGUCUAAAUGUCUUGGAUUUAACAUGUUAAUUAAUCUCAUGUUACUUCGGACUUAACAAACUGUCAAGUGUCUUGGGUCUAGUAUACUUAUCAAAUAUAUGUUGUCUUGAACUUGAUUGACUAUCAAGUACAAGUGUCUUGGGUCUGAUAUGUUUGUCAGAUUCACAUUACCUUAUUUCCUUGAACAUGUCAAGGGAAGAUUGUCAUUACGUCAAGCAUUCCAAGAGGGAAUAUGCAUUCUCAUGGGCAUGCUAGGGGCUUAGCAUAUUGUCAAGCUUAGCAUGCCCAAGACUUGGUCAAAAGCAUCAAGGUUUGGUUGACGCCAAACUUAACAUUUUGGAACUUGGCACAUUGUCAAAACCAAUCAUGAUUGGGUCUAGCUAAUGUCAAACCAAGUGUUUUUAGAGCUUGACACACUAUCAAGCCCAAUUACAUUUGAGUUUGACUAACACCAGACCCAACAUGCCCAAAGCUUGGCACACAACCAAACUUGUAUUAAUCUAGGCAUGCUCAUUACCUUGACCAUGUCUAAUGAAAAAGGGUAUGAGAAUUUUUUUAAACCCAUUAAAAAUAGGUUUAUCACAUGCCAUCAACUAUAACAGUGACAACUUGGCUCAAAUUAAUAUAGGAGUAGUUGCAGCUUGCAAUGUCAUAUACCAGAGAAUAGCAAUCUGAAAGCUACAAAAAGCAGCCUCCAUCUAAGUUCCUAGAGUCGUGUGUUCUCACAUGGCACACAUGACAACAUCAGCAAUAUGAGCGAGGGAGAGGAGUAAAGUGCAGAACUUAAAUGCAUAGGAAAUGAUGGAAUAUUAUUAUGGCAUUGCGUGGGCUUCAUUAGUAAAUAAUUUAAGAACCUGCACUGGGGAUAUUCACAGCUGCUCAUUCGACAAGAUCUCUUUGAGGAUCAAGAACUUGAA